Small nucleolar RNA from Meriones unguiculatus (Mongolian gerbil), 138 nucleotides. The record is from Ensembl. Lineage: Eukaryota; Metazoa; Chordata; Mammalia; Rodentia; Muridae.
UCCACCCCUCACUUAGAGGCGUAGCAGGUGUGGCUGCUGUGUCACAUGUGCGUCAGCAGGUGGCAGAGAAGAGAGAGGCCAUGUCUAUACGCAGUGUUCUGACCUAAGAACAUCUGAAUGAUUAAUAGCCUAACAUUC